AUCUCUGGUUCGCUCCAGUUCGCACCGACGCCUCCAGCCCUCCGCUCGACCACGCUGCACUUGAUGUCUCGACCCCUCCUCGCAUCGUUCCCGCACGCAGCGCCGCUGCCUGUCGGAGGUAGAUGUCAACUAGCGGUGGUACCCCGCCCCCCGCGCCGGCGGCGCCCAGCCCCACGCCUGCCCCUCUUCUUCGGCUCGGAGGAAGCAGCAGCCGAGCAGGGACAAGCAACCCUGGCAGGGGCGCCCCGCCACCCGCGCCGGCGGCGCCUGCCCCCCGGUCCGCCCCUCCUGUUCGGCUCGGAGGGAGCAGCAGCAGCCGAGCAGGGAUGGGCAACCCUGGCGGCGGCGCCCUGCCCCUCGCGGUACAGAAACAAAAGAUGAAGAUGAAGAGGAGUGGAAUUGUUGGCAGUAGCAUAUUUGCAAUGUGGGAAAAGGCUUCAAAGGCAAGGAAAAUAGAUGAAGUAUCCACACCGAAUCAGACAGUAGCUGCAUCUAGUACUUGUACUUCUCCUGUUCAUUUGGAGAGAAAUUUGCAAUUGGUGUUAUGGCAAGAACCGGAGAGUAGAGGAGAAACCUCAACGCCUCAUGUAGAAGAUGAUGAAUUUAUUGACGAAGAUGAUGAACCGAUGCAAGCUGAUUUGGAGGCACUCAAACAUGAUCCUUGAAAGCGGAUUCCCAUCUCAGUAUAUGCUGUCAAUGACCAAGAUAGAGUUGUGUAGAGCUUUGCAAAAGCGAGACGAAGAUAUUGUUCAUGCUAUUGAGCUUAUUGCUGACACAAAGUAUUACUUGGAGGCUUUGAGGACCGAUGCUGGAUGGGAUGAUUUUCUCACAAAGGUCACAUCUUUUUGUGCGAAGAAUAAGAUCAAAGUUGUUGAUAUGGAGGGUCCUUACUUUCCCGUUGGCCGGCCUAGAAGGGGUUUAUGUAAUGGUCUGACCAAUUACCACCGCUUCAAGGUUGAUAUGUUUGUGGGUGUCAUUGAUAGGCAAAUCGGUGAGCUGAAUGGCAGAUUUGAUGAGUAGCUACUGCUAGUGUUGAAAGGGUAUUCUCUUCAAUGAGCUAUGUGAAGAAUAAGCUAAGAACAAAAUGGGUGAUGAUU
Molecule: long non-coding RNA, 1097 nt
Organism: Triticum aestivum (bread wheat)
Lineage: Eukaryota; Viridiplantae; Streptophyta; Magnoliopsida; Poales; Poaceae
Exons: 3
Source: RefSeq, a predicted model, not a curated record